Camellia sinensis is the source of this 849-nucleotide long non-coding RNA. RefSeq lists it as uncharacterized. The record is from RefSeq and is a predicted model, not a curated record. NCBI's taxonomy places the organism in Eukaryota, Viridiplantae, Streptophyta, Magnoliopsida, Ericales, Theaceae.
AGCUCGCGGCACAACCGAACACGCGGUUCACGCGGCGUCAAACAGCAUCCUUCUUUUCUAAACCCUUUGCUUUCUUCAACUGCAUAACCCCCCAACGAAGGCUCCCUCCCUCUCUCUCUCUCUCUCUCUCUCCAUAAAAAUAUAGCUUUAGAUCUCCUGCAAUCCAAACAGUAACAAAGCUUCAAAUUUCAAUUACCAAAUUAAAGCACGAAAGGUGAAAUUCGAACAUGGGUCAUGACGGACACCAUCACCAUCAUCACCACCACCAUGGAAGGGUUAGCCCAUAUGAUGAUCCAUUCAUGGCUUGCUGUUGCAGCCCUUGCUUUCUAGUCUCCGCCAUAUUCAGAGGGCUUGGGAGGUGUUUGUUUGUGACUUGUUACCCACUCAUGCGGUGCUUUGGAUUUGACGAACACAGACACCAUCAGCACCACCACCACAGCCAUUCUUACUGAUCAGUGAUCCUCCAUUUCUACAUCAUUCAACCUACGAUUUGGUUUUUUAGGAAGCAAUUUAUGGAAUCAAAGUAGAUCUGUUUUGUUUGGUAGCUCUGUCGGCAAAUUCAAAUAUACACCGCUUUAUGUUAUUUUCUUUUUUUAAUUAUGACAAUAUUUUAGAUAUGAUUCAUUAAUUCUUUGUUUGUAUCUUGUGUUUAGUUGUGAUAUUUUUUUAUUUUUUUUUUUUUAUGAUUCAAAAAAUUAAGGUUGUGCUAUUUUUCGUUCUAAUCAUACAGUGCAUAUGCAGCAUGAUACUGUUUCCCAGCUCUGUAUAGUGUUAUAUUUGUUUAUUGAACAAGGAAAAAGAACAAAAGAAAUGGAAAUUUGUUGGGCCCUUUUGUAGCUAUUGCAGUUA